AUUGAACGCUGGCGGCAGGCCUUACACAUGCAAGUCGAGCGAGCGGCGGACGGGUGAGUAAUGUCUGGGAAAAUGCCUGAAGGAGGGGGAUAUCUACUGGAAACGGUAGCUAAUACCGCAUACCAUCAGAUGUGCCCAGAUGGGAUUAGAUAGUAGGUGGGGUAACGGCUUACCUAGGCGAAGAUCCCUAGCUGGUCUGAGAGGAUGACCAGCCACACGGGAACUGAGACACGGUCCAGACUCCUACGGGAGGCAGCAGUGGGGAAUAUUGCACAAUGGGCGCAAGCCUGAUGCAGCCAUGCCGCGUGUGUGAGGAAGGCCUGCGGGUUGUAAAGCACUUUCAGCGGGGAAGCGUUACCCGCAGAAGAAGCACCGGCUAACUCCGUGCCAGCAGCCGCGGGAAUAC
RNAcentral lists this ribosomal RNA (406 nucleotides) under uncultured bacterium. RNAcentral's name for it is "partial 16S ribosomal RNA". It matches the Rfam family "Bacterial small subunit ribosomal RNA", at positions 29 to 526 of the family's 1533-position model. The record is from RNAcentral.